This 442-nucleotide ribosomal RNA is filed under the name uncultured bacterium. RNAcentral's name for it is "partial 16S ribosomal RNA". It matches the Rfam family "Bacterial small subunit ribosomal RNA", at positions 338 to 795 of the family's 1533-position model. The record is from RNAcentral.
CCUACGGGAGGCAGCAGUGGGGAAUAUUGGGCAAUGGGCGCAAGCCUGACCCAGCAACGCCGCGUGAAGGAAGAAGGCUUUCGGGUUGUAAACUUCUUUUGUCAGGGAAGAGUAGAAGACGGUACCUGACGAAUAAGCCACGGCUAACUACGUGCCAGCAGCCGCGGUAAUACUUAGGUGGCAAGCGUUGUCCGGAUUUACUGGGUGUAAAGGGCGUGUAGCCGGGUUGACAAGUCAGAUGUGAAAUCCUGCGGCUUAACCGCAGAACUGCAUUUGAAACUGUUGAACUUGAGUGCAGAAGAGGAGAGUGGAACUCCAUGUGUAGCGGUGGAAUGCGUAGAUAUAUGGAAGAACACCAGUGGCGAAGGCGGGUUCCUGGACAUUAACUGACGCUGAGGCACGAAGGCCAGGGGAGCGAAAGGGAUUAGAUACCCGGGUAGUC